GAGAGCUGUUUUAUUCUUCAGUACUUAUUUUCUAUUAGUUUUUCCCCUGAGGGUUUAAUUGUGCCAUAUCUUUCAGUUACUUGGUCAUUUUGAUUCGGAUAGCACACUGGCCACAACAAUGUCGGAUUUGCGGUAUAGGAUUCUUCCUCCAAGUUUUCUUUCAGAAAAUCCCAAGGAAGCUGGAUUCUGUCUAUGGCUACUUCAUCCCGAACCAUCAUCACGCCCAACAACAAGGUCUAAAUUCUUGUCUGUGAUAAUUUUGAAGAUGGGAAAUAGUAGCUGUCUCAGAUGAGAUGAGAUGUGUAUAUUAUUUUAAAAAAACUCUUAAGAUUUGCUAAAGCAUAUUGCCUUGGUGAAUAUUCUUGAUGUAUUAGAAAAUAAUUUUGAUUGAUAAUAUUACUAAAUUCCUUUUCUGUGAUAUGAGCUUCUGAAAUGGCUUUGUUAACAAUUAGGCUAUGGUAAUUUGUAGGAUACUAGAAUCCUCAUAAGUUGGUUCCUCAUCUCUGAGUAUUGUGAUCUGAUAAAUCGUCAAAAUUUGCAUCACAUAUAUAGAUGACUCUUUGUAGAAUAUGACUAUAUGAGAACUAACUUUUUUAUACCCACCAAUCCCCAAUUCCAUAACAUGGUGAAUGUCAAUAUGUGCUUUCUGGUUGCUACUAAAAGUAAACUAUACUCUCAAGUCCAUUAAGGAUAUAUUUCAGGUGUGCAACAAUUAGUCCUCUAUUUCGGAAACGAGGAAGAAGGUGAGAGAUGAAAAUCAAAAUCAUCUUCAACCAUUCUAUGCCUGACUUAUGAAAUUAAAGCUUCAAUCGACUUGAUUUUCAAUCGAUAACGAUGAGUCGACGACAAGUGAACGAUUUUAGAUGAACGAGACCAGCACAUUCGCCCAAAUUAAAGAUUCAAUCGACUUGAUUUUCAAUCGUUAACGAUGAGUCGACUUGAUUUUCUGCUCUAACUGCGCCAAGUGUUGCCCAAAGCUUGUUGCAGGCACUCCAGUCCCAUGGAUAGGUGUUGUUAUGUGUACAUAUCCCUAUGAUCCAACAGUGGCUCUGGGGUAUCUGUCUCUUCCUCAAUAGCGCAAUUGUGAUGGAUGUUAGUUGUGGAUUUGGCAUACUAAGGUUUCUCAUGGUGCUACAAUUUACAAUAUGAAGAACUAUGGAAAGUCAUUAUCCACUAGAAAGAGCGCAGAGAAGUUUGCAAGUUCUGAUGCAAUUUCGGUAAGUUGCCACUUACUUGCACUAUUCGAGUUCUUCCUGAGGUAUUUCUUUCUUAUUAUGAUUUUCAUUGAAGAGUUAUUGAUUUUCCCUGUGGUGAUUGGUCUGAUUUUUUAUAAAUAAUUUGUUAAAAUAAAAAAUGCAUAGUUGAUAGAAUUUUAUAUUUGAGUUAUAGAUUGGU
Molecule: long non-coding RNA, 1395 nt
Organism: Cannabis sativa
Lineage: Eukaryota; Viridiplantae; Streptophyta; Magnoliopsida; Rosales; Cannabaceae
Exons: 3
Source: RefSeq, a predicted model, not a curated record